This 265-nucleotide ribosomal RNA is filed under the name uncultured bacterium. RNAcentral describes it as "partial 16S ribosomal RNA". It matches the Rfam family "Bacterial small subunit ribosomal RNA", at positions 89 to 354 of the family's 1533-position model. The record is from RNAcentral.
UGGCGACCGGCGCACGGGUGAGUAACACGUAUGGAACCUGCCCGCAGCAGGGGGAUAAGCGGAAGAAAUUCCGUCUAAUACCGCGUAACACCGCGGAGGGGCAUCCCUCGGCGGUUAAAGAUUCAUCGGCUGCGGAUGGCCAUGCGGCGCAUUAGCCAGUCGGCGGGGUAACGGCCCACCGAGGCGACGAUGCGUAGGGGUUCUGAGAGGAAGGUCCCCCACACUGGUACUGAGACACGGACCAGACUCCUACGGAAGGCAGCAG